This 253-nucleotide ribosomal RNA is filed under the name uncultured Niastella sp. RNAcentral describes it as "partial 16S ribosomal RNA". It matches the Rfam family "Bacterial small subunit ribosomal RNA", at positions 524 to 776 of the family's 1533-position model. Lineage: Bacteria; Pseudomonadati; Bacteroidota; Chitinophagia; Chitinophagales; Chitinophagaceae. The record is from RNAcentral.
UACGGAGGGUGCAAGCGUUAUCCGGAUUCACUGGGUUUAAAGGGUGCGUAGGUGGGCUAGUAAGUCCGUGGUGAAAUCUCCGAGCUUAACUCGGAAACUGCCGUGGAUACUAUUAGUCUUGAAUGUCGUGGAGGUAAGCGGAAUAUGUCAUGUAGCGGUGAAAUGCUUAGAUAUGACAUAGAACACCGAUAGCGAAGGCAGCUUGCUACACGAUAAUUGACACUGAGGCACGAAAGCGUGGGGAUCAAACAGG